Molecule: non-coding RNA, 124 nt
Organism: Triticum aestivum (bread wheat)
Lineage: Eukaryota; Viridiplantae; Streptophyta; Magnoliopsida; Poales; Poaceae
Source: Rfam
GAAGUACUCCCUCAGUUCGAAAUUACUUGUCGGGAAAAUGGAGAAAAAUUGAUGUAUCUAUACUAAAAUACGUCUAGAUACAUCCAUUUUAACGGUAAGUAAUUUUGGACGGAGGGGGUACUCU